CUUUCUUUGCUGGCGACCGGCGCACGGGUGAGUAACACGUAUCCAACCUGCCCCUUACUCGGGGAUAGCCUUUCGAAAGAAAGAUUAAUACCCGAUAGCAUAAUGAUUCCGCAUGGUUUCAUUAUUAAAGGAUUCCGGUAAAGGAUGGGGAUGCGUUCCAUUAGGUUGUUGGUGAGGUAACGGCUCACCAAGCCUUCGAUGGAUAGGGGUUCUGAGAGGAAGGUCCCCCACAUUGGAACUGAGACACGGUCCAA
RNAcentral lists this ribosomal RNA (254 nucleotides) under uncultured bacterium. RNAcentral's name for it is "partial 16S ribosomal RNA". It matches the Rfam family "Bacterial small subunit ribosomal RNA", at positions 79 to 334 of the family's 1533-position model. The record is from RNAcentral.